UAGCUGUGGUAUAAGUGGAAUAAUUGACACUGGUCAGUUAAAUUAUUGGAAAAUAAUGCACACGUUAUGCAUUAUUUUUUAAUAAUUCAACGGCACGUCAUCAAUUAAUCCUUACAUAAACUAAUGAUAGAUUUUGUCUUUAAAUGUGUGUUCAAUUAUAGUUUGUUUCAAAUGCAUAUACUAGCACUUUGAGAUAAUCAUUUCCUGUCACUUGCAUAACUUUUAUACUUAAGAUAAAAUGAUUGCACAGGUAAUUUUUUUUUUUCAAUGGAGACAAAAAGAGCAACAACCAGAACAGGAAAAAUCAAACGGGUCAUCAGGCUUAAGUUGUCGUGUUGUAUGAUUUAAGAUGGAUCCUCCAAAUUUUAUGAAUGUGUUAAAAUUGCUGUCCAAAUCUAAUAUUAAGUUAGCUGGUCCACUCCUAGCUUUGUUAGUGGGUUUUCAGAUAUUAAUGGAUGGACAGUUCUCAUGCCCAUGCCUUGUUGGGCGGAAUACAGCUAUAUCAGUUUAAUCUUUAAAUUUUUUUUUUUUGGACUUGUUCUCAUUGUUAUUGAUAUAAUGCUCCCAUUUUUCAAGCUUAGAGCACAGGGCACAAGUGGAACAUCUCAAGCACGGGACAAGUGUGGAACUGAGUGGAAUUGUACAACAGUUGUGAUUUGUCUGGUUCCAUUUGUGGUGUGGUUAUGUUUAUGUUUAAUUGAUGGUGAUUAUAUUGCCUGUGAAGCGACAGACUGGAAUGGAAAGUAUGCCUGUGAUAAAUGAACUACACCAAGGAAGAAAUGAGACUGAACUAUAUAACUACACACGAAUAUGGAUUACUACAGUAUAUCAAAGGUAGAUAUCACAGGAUUCUCAGCCCAUGCACUUUCUUAUACUGUACAUGUAACAAGUUUAAGACUGCAUUGCUAUUUUUAUUGCUUUACAAAUAUUUAAGAAUUUCCUGAACAUAGCUAUAAACCCAUAUAAUGAGUAUUUGCAUGAUUCCAGCACAAACACAAUGCAGAGAGCUUUUUGAUUCCCCUGGUAUUCACAUUAAAUGAAUAGAAGUGAUAUGUCUUCAACAUAAUUUGAGGUGAAAGAAGAAACAUUCUGUUCUUCUGAAUAAACAGUUACUCC
Long non-coding RNA from Cyprinus carpio carpio, 1116 nucleotides. The record is from Ensembl. NCBI's taxonomy places the organism in Eukaryota, Metazoa, Chordata, Actinopteri, Cypriniformes, Cyprinidae.